Small nucleolar RNA from Cervus hanglu yarkandensis (Yarkand deer), 101 nucleotides. Its record names the gene SNORA70. It matches the Rfam family "Small nucleolar RNA SNORA70". Rfam says of the family: snoRNA U70 seems to be exclusive to mammals and is a member of the H/ACA class of snoRNA which contain H (ANANNA) and ACA box motifs. Lineage: Eukaryota; Metazoa; Chordata; Mammalia; Artiodactyla; Cervidae. The record is from Ensembl.
CUUAAGAACUGCAAUUUGAAUGGCUGCAAACAGCAGCCUCCUUGGUAGUGUAUGCAACCUGUUGCCUGUACAGGUAGCCCUAAGGGACCUUGGAGACAACU